Molecule: ribosomal RNA, 435 nt
Filed under: uncultured bacterium
Lineage: Bacteria
Description: partial 16S ribosomal RNA
Rfam family: Bacterial small subunit ribosomal RNA
Source: RNAcentral
AACGAACGCUGGCGGCAGGCUUAACACAUGCAAGUCGAACGCAUGCCUUCGGGCAUGAGUGGCAGACGGGUGAGUAACGCGUGGGAACCUACCCCUUGGUACGGGAUAGCUCCGGGAAACUGGAGAUAAUACCGUAUGUGUCCUGAGGGACAAAGAUUCAUCGCCAAGGGAUGGGCCCGCGUCGGAUUAGCUAGUUGGGGGGGUAACGGCCUACCAAGGCGACGAUCCGUAGCUGGUCUAAGAGGAUGAUCAGCCACAUCGGGACUGAGACACGGCCCAAACUCCUACGGGAGGCAGCAGUGGGGAAUAUUGGACAAUGGGCGCAAGCCUGAUCCAGCCAUGCCGCGUGAGUGAUGAAGGCCCUAGGGUUGUAAAGCUCUUUCACCGGUGACGAUAAUGACGGUAACCGGAGAAGAAGCCCCGGCUAACUUCGUG